RNAcentral lists this ribosomal RNA (253 nucleotides) under uncultured bacterium. RNAcentral's name for it is "partial 16S ribosomal RNA". It matches the Rfam family "Bacterial small subunit ribosomal RNA", at positions 524 to 776 of the family's 1533-position model. The record is from RNAcentral.
UACGGAGGGUGCAAACGUUGCUCGGAAUCAUUGGGCGUAAAGCGCACGUAGGCGGCCUUGUAAGUCGGAUGUGAAAUCCCUGGGCUUAGCCGAGGAAGUGCAUUCGAAACUGCAAGACUUGAGUACAGGAGAGGAUCGCGGAAUUCCCGGUGUAGAGGUGAAAUUCGUAGAUAUCGGGAGGAACACCAGAGGCGAAGGCGGCGAUCUGGACUGAUACUGACGCUGAGGUGCGAAAGCGUGGGGAGCGAACCGG